GGGCAGGUGGCCGAGUGGUCAAUGGCAGCAGACUGUAAAUCUGCCGGCUUCGCCUACGGAGGUUCGAACCCUCCCCUGCCCACCA
RNAcentral lists this transfer RNA (85 nucleotides) under Candidatus Omnitrophota bacterium. RNAcentral's name for it is "tRNA-Tyr". It matches the Rfam family "tRNA". Rfam says of the family: Transfer RNA (tRNA) molecules are approximately 80 nucleotides in length. Their secondary structure includes four short double-helical elements and three loops (D, anti-codon, and T loops). The record is from RNAcentral. Lineage: Bacteria; Pseudomonadati; Candidatus Omnitrophota.